GGUUCAGAACGUCGUGAGACAGUUUGGUCCAUAUCCGGUGUAAGCGUUAGAGUAUUGAGAAGAGCCUUCCUUUGUACGAGAGGACCGGGAAGGACAAACCUCUGGUGUACCAGUUCUUUAAAAGGGAAACGCUGGGUAGCCAUGUUUGGUUCGGAUAACCGCUGAAAGCAUCUAAGCGGGAAACUUGCCUCAAGAUGAGAUCUCACUGGAGCCUUGAGCUUCCUGAAGGGCCGUCGAAGACUACGACGUUGAUAGGUUGGGUGUGUAAGCGCUGUGAGGCGUUGAGCUAACCAAUACUAAUUGCCCGUGAGGCUUGACC
RNAcentral lists this ribosomal RNA (319 nucleotides) under Chloropicon mariensis. RNAcentral describes it as "partial Bacterial large subunit ribosomal RNA". It matches the Rfam family "Bacterial large subunit ribosomal RNA", at positions 2608 to 2925 of the family's 2925-position model. Lineage: Eukaryota; Viridiplantae; Chlorophyta; Chloropicophyceae; Chloropicales; Chloropicaceae. The record is from RNAcentral.